This 597-nucleotide small RNA is filed under the name Pongo abelii (Sumatran orangutan). Its description in RNAcentral is "retained intron". The record is from RNAcentral. Lineage: Eukaryota; Metazoa; Chordata; Mammalia; Primates; Hominidae.
GAAGCUGGCGGAGCAGGAGGAUGGGCGAGCAGUCUGAAUGCCAGAAUGGAUAACCGUUUUGCUACAGCAUUUGUAAUUGCUUGUGUGCUUAGCCUCAUUUCCACCAUCUACAUGGCAGCCUCCAUUGGCACAGACUUCUGGUAUGAAUAUCGAAGUCCAGUUCAAGAAAAUUCCAGUGAUUUGAAUAAAAGCAUCUGGGAUGAAUUCAUUAGUGAUGAGGCAGAUGAAAAGACUUAUAAUGAUGCACUUUUUCGAUACAAUGGUACAGUGGGAUUGUGGAGACGGUGUAUCACCAUACCCAAAAACAUGCAUUGGUAUAGCCCACCAGAAAGGACAGAGUCAUUUGAUGUGGUCACAAAAUGUGUGAGUUUCACACUAACUGAGCAGUUCAUGGAGAAAUUUGUUGAUCCCGGAAACCACAAUAGCGGGAUUGAUCUACUUAGGACCUGUGAGUACUUUGAUUUCACCAGGACAGUUGGGGGAACAAAGAUAAUUUUAUUUGUCUCUUUUUGGACUAUGUUUUUGGAAUAAGAUGAGUUAGUAGAUUGUGCCAGCGUGAAAUAAAAUAUCUAAUAGUAUCAGUGAUGUGUAUUCUGU